CAGGGCCAGUGGGGUGUGCAGCGUCAGGUACUAGGCGGCCUUGGCAAGAUUCAGGCUGCAGUCUCAGGGCUAGGGCUCCCUUAGAGGUGCUAUGACCUAAAGCCAUGUUUCCCGGUGGUGUUCCCACAGGACAAUCCCGGACCCGUCCUAGUGGCCCCCACUGUCCUGUAUGCAGGGAGGUGAGUUAGUCACGUGAGCUGAGCAGGCUUCCAGGUGGUUCUUAAGGGAAAAGACUGCUCUGUCAAGUGAAUGGCUUCGCUCUAAAUGUGGCCUUGUCUGUGUCUUGCUCACCGUUGGUGUACACACCCUGGCUCAGUAUUUGAGGACUACUGUAGUUAUGUUAUUUCAGGUCCCUAGGAAAACGGGUCUCUACAAGUGAGAUUGCCCUAUACCUCCACCCUUUGCUGGGGGAGGUAGGGUGGAGUCUUCCUGCUCUGAGUGAAGAACUAGAUAAUGCCGCGUGCCCAGGUGGUGCAAUAAGUAAAUUACCAGCCUGAAGUUUGAACGGAAUGUCGGGUGGCAAAGACGAACUCUUGGCUUCGUUUGUAUAUUAUUGGGAAAGAAGGCACAAGAGCCAGGUCUCCUGGUGGGACUUCUGAAGCUUGAUUCUGGAAGGAGGGUGAAGCACAAUGACUUUCAGAAUGUCUAGUCUGAUGUGCACAGCAGAAGGAUCCAGGCCUGAUGACAUGGUAACCACUGAUGCCCCCACAGGAGAGUUGGAGUGAGGUUCCUGACUGUGUAACAUCUGUAGGAGGAAGGCCGCUAACAUCUGUAGGAGGAGCCACUCUUUUGUUCCUGGCCACCAAGAAUCAAAAUAACCACAUAGAAACUGUAUUAAUUAAAUCACUGCUUGGCCCAUUAGCUUUAAUUUCUCAUUGGAUUACUUACAUCUCAAUUUAACCCACAUCUAUUAAUCUGUGUAUCGCCACAUGGCAGUGGCUUACCAGGUAAACUUCCUAGGGUCUGUCUCGGCAGAUCCCUGGUGUCUCUCUGGUUCCACCCUUCCUUCUCCCAGCAUUCACUUCUGUCCUCCCCGCCUAUCUAAGUUCUGCCCUAUCAACAGGCCAAGGCAGUCUCUUUAUUCAUCAAUGGCAAUGAUAGCACACAGAGGGAACUCCCACAUCAAUGCUGCAGUCUGAGAAGGGAAGGAAGAUCGUGGUGAUGGUUGGUGAUUCCCAUUUCUUGGUGGACCUACUGCACAAACUUCCAGACCUUAGUGAGUCCUGUUUACUUUGGAACUGGCCCAAGAACACUGACUGAAUGUUUGACAGUUUAUCCACACUAUAUCUUGAGACACAGAACUCAAUUUUUGCCAGUAUGAUGUUCAAUUUAUUGUUGAAAUAAAGGGCCUGAGAACUGA
Molecule: long non-coding RNA, 1360 nt
Organism: Alexandromys fortis (reed vole)
Lineage: Eukaryota; Metazoa; Chordata; Mammalia; Rodentia; Cricetidae
Exons: 2
Source: RefSeq, a predicted model, not a curated record